UGGGCAACCUGCCCUUCUCAUCGGAAUAAGCGUUGGAAACGACGUCUAAUGCCGAAUACGACCUCCUUUCGCAUGAUCGGAGGUAGG
RNAcentral lists this ribosomal RNA (87 nucleotides) under uncultured bacterium. RNAcentral describes it as "partial 16S ribosomal RNA". The record is from RNAcentral.